GACGAACGCUGGCGGCGUGCUUAACACAUGCAAGUCGAACGGUGAAGCGCCUUCCUUUUUGGUCGGUGUGGAUGAGUGGCGAACUGGUGAGUAACACGUGAGUAACCUGCUCCCUUCUUCUGGAUAACCGCAUGAAAGUGUGGCUAAUACGGGAUAUUCUGGGUCUGUUGCAUGAUGGGUCUGGGAAGGAUUUUGUUUCGGUGGGGGAUGGGCUCGCGGCCUAUCAGCUUGUUGGUGGGGUGAUGGCCUACCAAGGCGGUGAGGGGUAGCCGGCCUGAGAGGGUGGACGGUCACACUGGGACUGAGACACGGCCAAGACUACGACGGGAGGCAGCAGGGGAGAAUAUGGCACAAUGGGCGGAAGGCUGAUGCAGCGACGCGGCGGGAGGGAUGGAGUCCGUCUGGUUGUGAACUUCUUUCGCGAGUGAAGCAGGGCUGCCUCGUUUGUGGGUGGGUUGACGGUAGCUGGAUAAGAAGCGCCGGCUAACUACAUG
This 494-nucleotide ribosomal RNA is filed under the name uncultured bacterium. RNAcentral describes it as "partial 16S ribosomal RNA". It matches the Rfam family "Bacterial small subunit ribosomal RNA", at positions 28 to 507 of the family's 1533-position model. The record is from RNAcentral.